ACGGAGGGUGCAAGCGUUAAUCGGAAUUACUGGGCGUAAGGCGCACGUAGGUGGUUUGUUAAGCUAGCUGUGAAAUCCCCGGGCUCAACCUGGGCACUGCAGUUAGAACUGGCAAGCUAGAGUAUGUUAGAGGGAAGUGGAAUUCCAGGUGUAGCGGUGAAAUGCGUAGAUAUCUGGAGGAACACCAAUGGCGAAGGCAACUUCCUGGGACAAUACUGACACUGAGGUGCGAAAGCAUGGGUAGCAAACAGGA
Molecule: ribosomal RNA, 253 nt
Filed under: uncultured prokaryote
Description: partial 16S ribosomal RNA
Rfam family: Bacterial small subunit ribosomal RNA
Source: RNAcentral